Molecule: small RNA, 125 nt
Filed under: Marmota monax (woodchuck)
Lineage: Eukaryota; Metazoa; Chordata; Mammalia; Rodentia; Sciuridae
Source: RNAcentral
GCUGGGCAUGGUGGCACAUGCCUGUAAUCCCAGCAUCUCAGGAGGCUAAGGCAGAAGGAUCACAAGUUCAAAGCCAGCCUCAACAAAAGCUAGGUGCUAAGAAACUCAGUGAGAUUCUGUCUCUA